RNAcentral lists this ribosomal RNA (465 nucleotides) under Vreelandella stevensii. Its description in RNAcentral is "partial 16S ribosomal RNA". It matches the Rfam family "Bacterial small subunit ribosomal RNA", at positions 338 to 795 of the family's 1533-position model. Lineage: Bacteria; Pseudomonadati; Pseudomonadota; Gammaproteobacteria; Oceanospirillales; Halomonadaceae. The record is from RNAcentral.
CCUACGGGGUGCUGCAGUGGGGAAUAUUGGACAAUGGGCGAAAGCCUGAUCCAGCCAUGCCGCGUGUGUGAAGAAGGCCUUCGGGUUGUAAAGCACUUUCAGUGGGGAAGAAAGCCUUGGGGCUAAUACCCUCGAGGAAGGACAUCACCCACAGAAGAAGCACCGGCUAACUCCGUGCCAGCAGCCGCGGUAAUACGGAGGGUGCGAGCGUUAAUCGGAAUUACUGGGCGUAAAGCGCGCGUAGGCGGUCUGAUAAGCCGGUUGUGAAAGCCCCGGGCUCAACCUGGGAACGGCAUCCGGAACUGACAGGCUAGAGUGCAGGAGAGGAAGGUAGAAUUCCCGGUGUAGCGGUGAAAUGCGUAGAGAUCGGGAGGAAUACCAGUGGCGAAGGCGGCUUUCUGGACUGACACUGACGCUGAGGUGCGAAAGCGUGGGUAGCAAACAGGAUUAGAUACCCCUGUAGUC